UUGUCAGAACAUCGUUCAUUA
This 21-nucleotide non-coding RNA is filed under the name Caenorhabditis elegans. Lineage: Eukaryota; Metazoa; Nematoda; Chromadorea; Rhabditida; Rhabditidae. The record is from RNAcentral.